Molecule: ribosomal RNA, 267 nt
Filed under: uncultured Staphylococcus sp.
Lineage: Bacteria; Bacillati; Bacillota; Bacilli; Caryophanales; Staphylococcaceae
Description: partial 16S ribosomal RNA
Rfam family: Bacterial small subunit ribosomal RNA
Source: RNAcentral
CGGCGGACGGGUGAGUAACACGUGGGUAACCUACCUAUAAGACUGGGACAACUUCGGGAAACCGGAGCUAAUACCGGAUAAGAUAUCGAACCGCAUGGUUCGAUAGUGAAAGAUGGUUUUGCUAUCACUUAUAGAUGGACCCGCGCCGUAUUAGCUAGUUGGUGAGGUAACGGCUCACCAAGGCAACGAUACGUAGCCGACCUGAGAGGGUGAUCGGCCACACUGGAACUGAGACACGGUCCAGACUCCUACGGGAGGCAGCAGGGG